UGCCAAAAAAAUUCAUGUCACCAUAGCUAGGGUUCUUGAACUUCCUAAGCUCAAUUAUCAAGAAAGAAGAAAUAGUGCAAGUGAUCGGGGAAAAGAGAAAGUUAUCGACUAAAUUACAAAAAUAGUCGUUUUGCAUCCGAGGUAAGUUAUGUGUAAAUAAUAGUAAUAUAUUUUAUAAAUUGUGAAUUUAUUUGAUAUGUGAAUCAAUAUUGAAUGUGGAAGGAUAAUUGUUCAUGAAUUAUUCAAGUGAUAAAGUGUUUAAAAUAAAGUGUUAAGUGUAAAUUCCCGGUUGAACUUAGGAAUAGAAGUGGAUACAAGUGACAUGUCACUAGAGAUCAGUGUUACAGUGUUACAGUGAGUCCCGGGUGCUGGGUGAUCUAGCAUGUGUUGCAGACACCUGACAGCUUGUGUGAGCAGGCCCGUGGACAUUUCCAGUGUUAUUGAUCAGUGGUAGCUUCGGCUACGUUUCAGUGGUAGCUUCGGCUACAUUUCAGUGGUAGCUUCGGCUACAUAUCAGUGUUGCACUUAUGUGCUAAAUCUCUACGUAUCUGUGUAUAUUCCGAGUGUUCAACGGGAUUAAUAAUGAGUUAAAGUGAAUAUGAAAUGAAGUGUGUAUUGCAGGUACAUUUGAAAAGAAUGAGCAUAGUGAUAAAGGUUAAGUGUGAAAAUGUAUAUGCAAGUGAAUUGGUAAGAUUGUGCAUGUAUAAGUGAUUGAAAUUGCUAAGAAAUGUUUUGAUUAGUUAUAUGUUAAAAGUGUUAAUUAUUAAAUGAGUAAUUAUUGUUUACAUGUAACUUACUAAGCUAUUUAUAGCUUACACCUUUCUUCUUUUCCUUUGUUAUAUAGUGAUUUGAACUUGAUCGAAGUGGGGAUCGUCGGAGCUCGUAUCACACUAUCAUAAUCAUCUCGGUAUUAUGUGCUUUUCAAAAUGUUUAAACUAUGGCAUGUAUGGAGUCUUGAUCAUUUUGAGCAUGUUCAAAUGAUAUAGCUAAUAUUAGCUAUUGAAG
RNAcentral lists this long non-coding RNA (1005 nucleotides) under Gossypium barbadense (sea-island cotton). Its description in RNAcentral is "long non-coding RNA (GBAR_LNC001127)". Lineage: Eukaryota; Viridiplantae; Streptophyta; Magnoliopsida; Malvales; Malvaceae. The record is from RNAcentral.